ACUUAAAUUGAAGAGUUUGAUCAUGGCUCAGAUUGAACGCUGGCGGCAGGCCUAACACAUGCAAGUCGAACGGUAGCACAGAGAGCUUGCUCUCGGGUGACGAGUGGCGGACGGGUGAGUAAUGUCUGGGAAACUGCCUGAUGGAGGGGGAUAACUACUGGAAACGGUGGCUAAUACCGCAUAACGUCGCAAGACCAAAGAGGGGGACCUUCGGGCCUCUUGCCAUCAGAUGUGCCCAGAUGGGAUUAGCUGGUUGGUGAGGUAACGGCUCACCAAGGCGACGAUCCCUAGCUGGUCUGAGAGGAUGACCAGCCACACUGGAACUGAGACACGGUCCAGACUCCUACGGGAGGCAGCAGUGGGGAAUAUUGCACAAUGGGCGCAAGCCUGAUGCAGCCAUGCCGCGUGUAUGAAGAAGGCCUUCGGGUUGUAAAGUACUUUCAGCGGGGAGGAAGGUGUUGUGGUUAAUAACCGCAGCAAUUGACGUUACCCGCAGAAGAAGCACCGGCUAACUCCGUGCCAGCAGCCGCGGUAAUACGGAGGGUGCAAGCGUUAAUCGGAAUUACUGG
This 569-nucleotide ribosomal RNA is filed under the name Salmonella enterica subsp. enterica serovar Agona str. ATCC 51957. Its description in RNAcentral is "bacterial SSU rRNA". It matches the Rfam family "Bacterial small subunit ribosomal RNA", at positions 1 to 557 of the family's 1533-position model. Lineage: Bacteria; Pseudomonadati; Pseudomonadota; Gammaproteobacteria; Enterobacterales; Enterobacteriaceae. The record is from RNAcentral.